This 293-nucleotide ribosomal RNA is filed under the name uncultured bacterium. RNAcentral describes it as "partial 16S ribosomal RNA". It matches the Rfam family "Bacterial small subunit ribosomal RNA", at positions 505 to 796 of the family's 1533-position model. The record is from RNAcentral.
GUGUCAGCAGCCGCGGUAAUACGUAGGGGGCGAGCGUUGUCCGGAUUCAUUGGGCGUAAAGCGCUUUAAGGCGGUUCGCUAAGUCGGGUGUGAAACCUCCAGGCUCAACCUGGAGACGCCACUCGAUACUGGCGUGACUAGAGUCCGGUAGGGGACCACGGAAUUCCUGGUGUAGCGGUGAAAUGCGCAGAUAUCAGGAGGAACACCAGUGGCGAAGGCGGUGGUCUGGGCCGGAACUGACGCUGUAGAGCGAAAGCGUGGGGAGCGAACAGGAUUAGAUACCCCGGUAGUCC